RNAcentral lists this ribosomal RNA (634 nucleotides) under Paratrichodorus cf. minor TSH-2005. RNAcentral's name for it is "SSU rRNA". It matches the Rfam family "Eukaryotic small subunit ribosomal RNA", at positions 1003 to 1664 of the family's 1831-position model. Lineage: Eukaryota; Metazoa; Nematoda; Enoplea; Triplonchida; Trichodoridae. The record is from RNAcentral.
GGCGAUCAGAUACCGCCCUAGUUCAGACCGUAAACGAUGCCAUCUGGCGAUCCGCCGGCGUUAUGUUUGACCCGGCGGGCAGCCACCGGUAAACCUUUAAGUUGGGUUCCGGGGGAAGUAUGGUUGCAAAGCUGAAACUUAAAGGAAUUGACGGAAGGGCACCACCAGGAGUGGAGCCUGCGGCUUAAUUUGACUCAACACGGGGAAACUCACCCGGCCCGGACACCGUAAGGAUUGACAGAUUGAGAGCUCUUUCUUGAUUCGGUGGGUGGUGGUGCAUGGCCGUUCUUAGUUGGUGGAGCGAUUUGUCUGGUUUAUUCCGAUAACGAACGAGACUCUAGCCUACUAAAUAGACACUGGUUCUUUGGACCGGUGAACUUCUUAGAGGGACAAGCGACGUUUAGUCGCACGAGAUUGAGCAAUAACAGGUCUGUGAUGCCCUUAGAUGUCCGGGGCUGCACGCGCGCUACACUGAAGGCAUCAUCAUGUUUCUUUUCCUACCCCGGAAGGGGCGGGUAACCCGAUGAAACGCCUUCGUGAUUGGGAUAGGGACUUGCAAUUAUUUCCCUUGAACGAGGAAUUCCUAGUAAGUGCGAGUCAUCAGCUCGCGCUGAUUACGUCCCUGCCCUUUGUA